CGGCAACAGCUCAAAUUUGAAAUCUGGCUCUCGGGCCCGAGUUGUAAUUUGUAGAGGAUGCUUUUGGUGAGGUGCCUUCCGAGUUCCCUGGAACGGGACGCCAUAGAGGGUGAGAAUCCCGUAUGUGACUAGAUGCCUAAGUUUAUGUGAAGCUCCUUCGAC
This 162-nucleotide ribosomal RNA is filed under the name Scytalidium sp. RNAcentral describes it as "partial large subunit ribosomal RNA". It matches the Rfam family "Eukaryotic large subunit ribosomal RNA", at positions 99 to 261 of the family's 3401-position model. The record is from RNAcentral. Lineage: Eukaryota; Fungi; Ascomycota; Leotiomycetes.